Molecule: ribosomal RNA, 497 nt
Filed under: uncultured bacterium
Lineage: Bacteria
Description: partial 16S ribosomal RNA
Rfam family: Bacterial small subunit ribosomal RNA
Source: RNAcentral
GAUGAACGCUGGCGGCGUGCCUAAUACAUGCAAGUCGAGCGGAAAGGCGCGGAUCUUGCGCGUCUCACGUUAGCGGCGGGCGGGUGAGUAACGCGUGGAUCACCUACCUAUAUGAGUGGGAUAACUUCGAGAAAGGGGAGCUAAUAACGGAUAAUAUAUUGAACCGCAGGGGGGGAUAGUGAAAGACGGUUUUGGUGUAACGUCUAGAUGGAUCCGCGCUGCAUUGGCUGGUUGGGUUGGUCAAGGCUUACCAAGGGAACGAUGCGUAGCCGACUUGAGUGGGGGAUCGCCCACCCUGGAAGUUGAACAGCGUCCAGAGUCCUACGGGAGGCAGCAGUAGGGAACCUUCGGCAAUGGGCGAAAGCUUGACGGAGCAACGCCGCGUGAGUGAUGAAGGUCUUCGGAUCGGAAAACUCUGUUACUAGUGAAGAACAAAUGUGUACGUAACUAUGCCCGUCUUGACGGUACCUAAUAAGAAAGCCACGGCUAACUACGUG